CAAAAUCAGGGGGAAAGAAGACCCUGUUGAGCUUGACGCUAGUCUGACUCUGUGAAGACACAUUGAAGGUGUAGCACAGGUGGGAGGCACGUGGCCGCUUGCGGUGCCGCGCCGACAGUGAAAUACAGUGAAACCUCCAUAAUCCGUACCUCCGUAAUCCGAACCCUCUAUUAUCCGAAUCCGCCGCGGAGAACAACAGACCGACAUUAUGCACUAAGCAUGCUUAGGCGACCUCAUCGCCGCCCGCUGUAAUAACUUGUCUCCUUUCUUCUGGUCGUUUUUGUUGGAUGUGAUGCCCGAGGAGGAACAACAUGCCGAGGAAGAUGAAGGGGAGCACAGCGCGGUUCCAACACACAACGGAGCAUUUGUUCCACUGGAGGCUGCGUUGCUGUGGUUCGAAGAUCAGGACGAAUGCGAUAAAAGACGACUUUUUGUGCUUAAAAAGGCAUCCGUGACUUAGCCGCUAGCAAACGUAAAAGCGUACUCAAGCAUACGCUGAUAACUGACCACCUACAAUAAAUCUUCCUUUCGCGGACUUCUAUUCCUUCGGAGGAAAGACGUGUGGGCACCUGCGGAUGAUCCAGGGAACAAAGUCUACAAUAAGUUAAGAAUCGCGCAAUGAUAAACUGUUAAUUCAAUUUUUCUCGGGAGGUGGAGCGAGCUGGCAACAGCGAGUCCGAAAAAGUAAACUCGCGGGACUGUUUCCCCUGCCGCUUCGUCAUACAGUUUCUGCGCGACAAAGAAAACUGUUUUCUCCUAGCCACAGACUUUCGUUCGUCAAAUAGUCACCCCCAUAAGCUAAAGCGGUUACAUUUAACAUGUUGUUACCUCCUGCAUUCACAUCCAGUACCUGUAAGCUCCCUCCAUAAUCCGAAUUCCUCUAUUUUCCGAACCACCACGGGGCCCGUUGAUGUUCGGAUUAUGGAGUUUUGACUGUACCACUACUUUGAUCGUUUAUUUACUUAUUCCGUCAAGCGGAAGAAACGGUCACUCGCGUGGCCGUCCCACGGCGCGCGACGACUGCCACUUUUCCUGCAAAGCCCACGGGACGCCUCCCCGCAGUCGGCGGCAGCUCGAGCACCCGUAGCAACGCGAGGUGCCGUCCAGGGCGAUCCGCUCCGAAGACACUGUCAGGUGCGGAGUGUGACUGGGCGGUACAUCUGUUAAACGGUAACGCAGGUGUACCAAGGUGAGCUCAGCGAGGACAGAAACGUCGCCUGGAGUAAACGGGCAAAGGCUCACUUGAUUUUGAUUUCCAGUACGAAUAGAGAGCUCGAAACCGUGGCCUAUCGAUCCUUUUGAUUUUGCAGAUUUCAUGUAAGAGCUGUCAGAAAAGUUACCACAGGGAUAACUGGGUUCUGGCAGCCAAGCGCCCAUAGCGACGUUGCUUUCUGAACCUUCGAUGACGGCCCUUCCUACCAUUGCGAAGCACAAUUCGCCAAGCUUUGGAUUGUUCACCCACAAAUAGGGAACGUGAGCUGGGUUUAAACCGUCGUGAGACAGGUUAGUUUUACCCUACUGAUCACUGACCGUUGCCAUACUAAUCCUGCUCAGUACGGGAGAAACCGUAGGAUCAGACAUUUGGUUCAUGAGCUUGGCUGAAAGGCCAGUGGCGCGAACCUACCAUCUGAAAGAUAGUGACUGAACGCCUCUAAGUCAGAAUCUUGCCUAUCGACUGGCGACGAUACGUUGCGUCCGACUUCUUGCAAAGUUGACGGUAGACCGGCAGUGGCCUUGCGCGGUCGACCGGUCUCCACUUGAAGCCGUGCUGCCACUUGUUGACGGCAGCGCCACCGCCAGCAUGAACGACAUGCUGCGACGGCGGCGAAACCACUGAUCACCCAACGGCUGAAACAGCAGUCGAACACCAGAGCUCCCCGUAGACGACGGACACACCGGUUGAGGUGUUCUGAUUACUAGAGCAGUCCGAAGACUGCGAUUUGUUGAGACUUUGCCUUUCAUUGGACUGCUC
This is a non-coding RNA of Trichuris suis (pig whipworm), 1972 nucleotides long. Lineage: Eukaryota; Metazoa; Nematoda; Enoplea; Trichinellida; Trichuridae. The record is from Rfam.